UAAUCUAUUUGGAAUAGAUUCUUAUCUAAUUGUGUCAGACUCACAGUAACUACUCCGUCACUUGUUAUAAGAAACACUAGUCACUUGUUAUCAUAAACACAACCCCAUCAAGAAGUACUGGACUUGUAUACAGUAUCAUACC
This 142-nucleotide microRNA precursor is filed under the name Populus trichocarpa (black cottonwood). RNAcentral describes it as "MIR480 microRNA precursor family". Lineage: Eukaryota; Viridiplantae; Streptophyta; Magnoliopsida; Malpighiales; Salicaceae. The record is from Rfam by way of RNAcentral.